GGGUUGUGAGGUUAAGCGACUAAGCGUACACGGUGGAUGCCCUGGCAGUCAGAGGCGAUGAAGGACGUGCUAAUCUGCGAAAAGCGCCGGCGAGGUGAUAUGAACCUUUGACCCGGCGAUGUCCGAAUGGGGAAACCCAGUGUGAUUCGUCACACUAUCGUUAACUGAAUACAUAGGUUAACGAGGCGAACCGGGGGAACUGAAACAUCUAAGUACCCCGAGGAAAAGAAAUCAACCGAGAUUCCCCCAGUAGCGGCGAGCGAACGGGGAGCAGCCCAGAGUCUGAA
This 287-nucleotide ribosomal RNA is filed under the name Enterobacter sp. ku-bf2. RNAcentral describes it as "partial 23S ribosomal RNA". It matches the Rfam family "Bacterial large subunit ribosomal RNA", at positions 1 to 280 of the family's 2925-position model. The record is from RNAcentral. Lineage: Bacteria; Pseudomonadati; Pseudomonadota; Gammaproteobacteria; Enterobacterales; Enterobacteriaceae.